CUCAUUUCUAGUUUAUGGUUAGAAUAUUAGUUUGUCGUACUAGGGGAGAUUUUUUUGGAUCGAAAUGGGU
Molecule: transfer RNA, 70 nt
Filed under: Paramphistomum leydeni
Lineage: Eukaryota; Metazoa; Platyhelminthes; Trematoda; Plagiorchiida; Paramphistomidae
Description: tRNA-Asp
Source: RNAcentral